Molecule: ribosomal RNA, 468 nt
Filed under: uncultured bacterium
Lineage: Bacteria
Description: partial 16S ribosomal RNA
Rfam family: Bacterial small subunit ribosomal RNA
Source: RNAcentral
GACGAACGCUGGCGGCGUGCUUAACACAUGCAAGUCGAACGGAAAGGCCCUGCUUUUGUGGGGUGCUCGAUUGGCGAACGUGUGUGUAACACGUGUGUAACCUGCCCUUUACUUUGGGAUAACUUCAGGUAACUGGGGCUAAUACCGGAUAUGAGCUCCUGCUGCAUGGUGUGGGUUGGAAAGUUUCGGCGGUUGGGGAUGGACUCGCGGCUUAUCAGCUUGUUUGUGGGGUAGUGGCUUACCAAGGGUUUGACGGGUAGCCGGCCUGAGAGGGUGACCGGGGACAAUGGGAGUGAGAUACGGACCAGACGGCAACGGGAGGCAGCAGUGGGGAAUAUUGCACAAUGGGAGGAAGCAGGAUGCAGAAAAGCGGCGUGCGGGAUGAAGGCCUACGGGGUGUAAAACGCUUUAGAAUGUGAAGAAGAGUGAGUGACGGUAAUGGGUAAAGAAGCAACGGCUAACUACGUG